CGCCAGAGGGAUAUGGUAAUUGCUUUGUGGCAAUAGCAGAGACCAUAGCACCAAGGGAAGGAGAUAAGCCGAAAACUAGCAACCCCACAGGCAACAUCCAGAACUUGAACAACUCCAGCUGAACUUAGAUCACCAGCUUCAUUAGUUGUCAUAUUUCCAUUAUCAUCCGCCCUGAUUUGGAAUCAAAAGCUGAUCCCAAAGGAUAGCCUCUCUCCCUCUUUGUCGGUGGAUUGAGCUAACACCUGAGCGAGUAGUCGAACUGCUAUUUU
Molecule: unclassified non-coding RNA, 269 nt
Filed under: Hevea brasiliensis (rubber tree)
Lineage: Eukaryota; Viridiplantae; Streptophyta; Magnoliopsida; Malpighiales; Euphorbiaceae
Source: RNAcentral